Long non-coding RNA from Girardinichthys multiradiatus, 2890 nucleotides. RefSeq lists it as uncharacterized. The transcript has 2 exons. NCBI's taxonomy places the organism in Eukaryota, Metazoa, Chordata, Actinopteri, Cyprinodontiformes, Goodeidae. The record is from RefSeq and is a predicted model, not a curated record.
CAUUGAGUGGACCAUGAUCUCCUCUGUAUACUAAAAGAUUCUGGAGUCACAUGUGAGGCCAUCUGUCUUACAGCUGAAGUUUGGUCCAAACUGGGCCAUCAACAGGACAACGAUUCCAAGCACAGCAGCAGACCUACAACAGUAACAAAGAGGUGCAAUGGCCUAGUCAAAGUCCAGACCUCAACCUAAUGGAAAUGUGGUGGGACCUUCAGAGAGCUGUGCAGAGGUCUGCAAACCUCAAUGAACUGAAGCAACACAGGAUAGAAGACUGCACCAAGAUUCUUGCACCAUGUUGGGUGAGACAGAAAACCUUCUGAGAGGUUCUGUUGAAGGAGGUCCUACAAGCUGCUGGAUCAUCUUACAUAUAAGAUCUUAAUAAAAGGUGGUGAUGAUCCUUAAUAUCAAGUCUUUAUCAAUGUUCAUUACUAAGAUUGUUUAAAAGGUGACGCGUAUGCUAACAUGUUCAGAAGAAGAGUCUCUGAUGUUUUCAUAUCAAUGAGUAUCUCGUGUUUUCACAAGAUAAACAUCCCUUCCUCCCAGAAAUUCCCAGAGCGUAGAAACUUCCUGAAGUGGGAAGCUCAGAGAAGAUGUGAUGUUCAGAUGAGAUACCAGGAGACUGUGCAGAGAGUCAGAAACAGGCUGGAAAUAUGGUGAAAAUUCAGUUAAAUUCCAAAAUAUUGAUCAUUUUUAGAUGUUGUUUUAUCCCUUUUCAUGAUGUAUUAUUGACAUUAAGCAGCUGCUCUCAGUGUUUAAUGGAGCAGCAGAGCAACAGAAGUUGGUAUAAAAACUGCAGAGGAAUUAAAAAACAACCGUCCUUAGAUUUAAAUGAGGCUAAUUUAUUUGCACCAUUUACACACGAAUUAAGCUUUAAAAGAAGUAAAAUGUUAACUGCAAAAAAAUAAAUAACCAAAAGCUGAAGGAGUAAAGCGAUGAAAUAAGUUUUGACCAUUCAUGGACAGCUUCAAUAAACAGUAAUGUUUUCAGUCCUAAGUUAAAAGAUCCAACAGUUUCUGCACAUCUCAGGUUUUCAGGCAGCUGGUUCUGAAGUAGAGGAACCAACUGCUUUUACUCUAUGAAUCAGGUUCAGCACUUGGUCCUCGUGGUAGAUGUUGUUGGUAGACGGCAGCAGUUGAAUGUAUAGAUAGGUCCUAAAUGUUUUGAUUGAAUUUAUGAAAAAUCUGAUGUUUCUGUCUUAGGUCCUGAUUAAGAUUUUACAUUGGACAAAUAAAAUGAUCGGUGGCUCAAGAUAGGCAGCUAAAACCAGCAGAGGAAGACUUCUUGUAACAUAGACCCAUCUUUGUUAUCUUCUGUGUUUAUGUUUAUUUUUGAAUGUCAGAGUGAGCGCCUACACACACACACACACACACACACACACACACACACACACACACACACACACACACACACACGUCUCCGUCCUCAUUUUCUCCAACAGCUGCAGGACUCGGAGCAUCUCCUGCACAGCUGACCCGGAUACGCUGACAGCUAUGAAAAGAGCUGUUGUUGACCACUGCUGACCCACUAUUAUCCCUGCACACACACAAACACACACACACACACACACACACACACACACACACACACACACACUUGCAGGUGCAGUGCAUCACGUGUUUGUAACAUUUCACUUUCUAAAUCCAGAGAUUUAAGGGGGAUGGAUUUCAUUUGGUACCCUGAAACAUUCUGUCUUGUUUACCUAUUUCUCUCUGGGUCAGAACAUUUUCAUUUUAUCUAACCUACAUUCAUGAUGUAACUCAUCGUCCUUCAGAAAGUGUCAAAACAACAAACAAUUUCUUUGAUUUGUUGUUUCCUGGACAUUUUAUGCAUUCUUUUUUAAAAACAACAGGAAUGCUCUGAUGUUAAUAUUAAGAUGAGUUUUUGAUUCUUCUGCAGCUGUCAUGCCCUAAAUUCAGCACUUCACAACAAAAAGCUUGAAUUUGUUCUGCAGCCUCGGCUGGAACAUUAACUUUGGUUCAGUCAGGUCCAACGCCUUCCCUCCAGCUUCUCUGCUCCUCUGAUCCAGUUUGUUUUGACGUUGAUGGUUUUCUAAACUCAACAAGGAUGAUGAAAAAUGAUGAUGAAUCCCCAUUAGUUAACCAAUCAUGCAUGUUUGUGGACUUUGGGAGGAAACUGUCAAGAGUCUGCAGUCUCUGCCUCUCCUGCUUACCUUCUUCCACCACCAGGUGCUGCUGAGGGCUGCGUCUCUGGGUGCGACAGGUGUUCCUUAUUUUGAUGAUCAUCUGGAGGAGUAUAUAGAGGACGGAUCGCCAGCACUUCUUUGCCUGAGUGUUUUGCCUACAGCGGUUCCAUAUUCAGUCUUUUGACUCAGUCUGAUGGUUUAUCGCACCCUGCUUCAGAAGAACCCGGAUCACGUUCCAGCUGGCAGUCCGUUCUCCGGUACUCUUUCCUCGCCUGCACGAACCCAGUCCACCCUCCAACGAUCCGCUUACUUGGACCACGGAAGUUCCUGGUGGAUUCCCAGAAGAGGCCUCCCUGGAUCUCCCUGGCGGAUCUAGUCCUCCCUGCACACUAUACGCCAUCUGAAACAGACUGUUAGCUGUCACUCACCAAGUACUUACCUGACCUGUUUCCCUCUUUUUCGCAGUCCUCUGGUUCCUGUCUGCGUGGGUAGCCCAGAUCAUUAUUUGUUCCAGAAUUCUAGAAAUAAACUGUUUACUGGUCUCUGAGUGUUCUUCCGUAUGUGGGUUAAGUCGGCCGUAAAAACGAUGACAAAAACAAGAAAACCCGUUCAGAGACCCUUGUCUGCAGUUUGAGAACAUGCAAACUUUGUACACAAUGGUCCUGAAUUGCACUUUAAACCAGGAACUUGUUUCUGUGAUGCAGCAAAGUUGAUCUCUGCAAUAAAACACCAUGCUGCUCUCAAAUGUAA